RNAcentral lists this ribosomal RNA (253 nucleotides) under uncultured bacterium. RNAcentral describes it as "partial 16S ribosomal RNA". It matches the Rfam family "Bacterial small subunit ribosomal RNA", at positions 524 to 776 of the family's 1533-position model. The record is from RNAcentral.
CACGUAGGGCGCAAGCGUUGUCCGGAAUUAUUGGGCGUAAAGAGCUCGUAGGCGGUCUGUUACGUCUGCUGUGAAAACCCGGGGCUUAACCCUGGGCUUGCAGUGGAUACGGGCAGACUAGAGGCAGGUAGGGGAGAAUGGAAUUCCCGGUGUAGCGGUGAAAUGCGCAGAUAUCAGGAGGAACACCGAUGGCGAAGGCAGGUCUCUGGGCAUUAACUGACGCUGAGGAGCGAAAGCAUGGGGAGCGAACAGG